Drosophila takahashii is the source of this 277-nucleotide long non-coding RNA. RefSeq lists it as uncharacterized. NCBI's taxonomy places the organism in Eukaryota, Metazoa, Arthropoda, Insecta, Diptera, Drosophilidae. The record is from RefSeq and is a predicted model, not a curated record.
UUGGGAGGCGAUUCUUUCUCUGUUUUCUGAGGAAAAUGCAGCUGAAACUUAAAAAGAUUUGACUGGAAGCAGCGGUCCAGAUGUAGAGUUUUGGAAGUGUGGCAGAACAAAAUUGAGAACGUCUUUGAGAUCCAGCUUCCGCAAACCACUUUGGAAAGCCACGCUGAAGAGAUACAAUCAACUUUAAUUUGGCUUGCGAUCCAUUCAGUGUUGGUGCGACAGCAAUGACAAAAAAGGACGGCGGGAGCAAGAACGCGAAGCACACCAUUGCGGACCC